Molecule: ribosomal RNA, 486 nt
Filed under: uncultured bacterium
Lineage: Bacteria
Description: partial 16S ribosomal RNA
Rfam family: Bacterial small subunit ribosomal RNA
Source: RNAcentral
GACGAACGCUGGCGGCGUGCUUAACACAUGCAAGUCGAACGGAAAGGCCUCAGCUUGCUGGGGUACUCGAGUGGCGAACGGGUGAGUAACACGUGGGUGAUCUGCCCUGCACUUUGGGAUAAGCUUGGGAAACUGGGUCUAAUACCGAAUAUGACCACCUCUUGGAUGUUGUGGUGGAAAGCUUUUGCGGUGUGGGAUGAGCCUGCGGCCUAUCAGCUUGUUGGUGGGGUAAUGGCCUACCAAGGCGGCGACGGGUAUCCGGCCUGAGAGGGUGUACGGACACAUUGGGACUGAGAUACGGCCCAGACUCCUACGGGAGGCAGCAGUGGGGAAUAUUGCACAAUGGGCGCAAGCCUGAUGCAGCGACGCCGCGUGGGGGAUGAAGGCCUUCGGGUUGUAAACUCCUUUCGCUAUCGACGAAGCCACUUGUGGUGACGGUAGGUAGAUAAGAAGCACCGGCUAACUACGUGCCAGCCGCCGCGGUAA